RNAcentral lists this ribosomal RNA (775 nucleotides) under uncultured Neocallimastigales. RNAcentral's name for it is "partial large subunit ribosomal RNA". It matches the Rfam family "Eukaryotic large subunit ribosomal RNA", at positions 24 to 633 of the family's 3401-position model. Lineage: Eukaryota; Fungi; Neocallimastigomycota; Neocallimastigomycetes; Neocallimastigales. The record is from RNAcentral.
UCGCAUCUGUGCAUGCAGCAUAUCAAUAAGCGGAGGAAAAGAAACUAACAAGGAUUCCCCUAGUAACGGCGAGUGAAGCGGGAAGAGCUCAAAUUUGAAAUCUUAAAGGGUUUCCCUUUACGAAUUGUAGUUUAAAGAAGUGUUUUCUGUUGAGGUUUUGGUAAAAGUUCUUUGGAAUAGGACAUCAUAGAGGGUGAGAAUCCCGUAUUUGACCUUUACUUUCAACUUUGUGAUACACUUUCAAAGAGUCGGAUUGUUUGGGAAUGCAGUCCAAAAUGGGUGGUAAAUUUCAUCUAAAGCUAAAUAUUGGCGAGAGACCGAUAGCGAACAAGUACCGUGAGGGAAAGAUGAAAAGAACUUUGAAAAGAGAGUUAAACAGUACGUGAAAUUGUCAAAAGGGAAGCGUUUGACACCAGUGUUGUUUUUCUGAAAAUCAAUUAAAGAACUGUUUAUGCUAAGUUGUUUAGACUUUAUCAGCUAUCUGUUUAGUUUUGAGCUUUUCUUUAAUGCACUUUUCAGUUAACAAGUCAACAUCAAUUUCUUUUGCUGUAAAAAAGCUUGAGGAAGGUGGCUUGAGAUUCGUCUUAAGUGUUUAUAGCCUCUUGCCUAUGCAGUCGGAGAGAUUGAGGUCUGCAGCGUAGAUCCUUCGGGGCUAAAUGCAUUUGUGCUAAGUUAUAGCAUUUUAUAGACAACUUGUUGACUAUGAUUUGUCUUGUAGCUUACUCGCUUAUGUUAUUUUACCUACGCUUAGGAUGUUGAACGCGCACAGAGUCUC